This 451-nucleotide ribosomal RNA is filed under the name uncultured Alphaproteobacteria bacterium. RNAcentral's name for it is "bacterial SSU rRNA". It matches the Rfam family "Bacterial small subunit ribosomal RNA", at positions 368 to 837 of the family's 1533-position model. The record is from RNAcentral. Lineage: Bacteria; Pseudomonadati; Pseudomonadota; Alphaproteobacteria.
ACAAUGGGCGCAAGCCUGAUCCAGCCAUGCCGCGUGAGUGAUGAAGGCCUUAGGGUCGUAAAGCUCUUUCGCCAGGGAUGAUAAUGACAGUACCUGGUAAAGAAACCCCGGCUAACUCCGUGCCAGCAGCCGCGGUAAUACGGAGGGGGUUAGCGUUGUUCGGAAUUACUGGGCGUAAAGCGCGCGUAGGCGGGUUGUUAAGUUAGAGGUGAAAUCCCGGGGCUCAACCCCGGAACUGCCUUUAAUACUGGCAACCUAGAGUUCGAGAGAGGUGAGUGGAAUUCCGAGUGUAGAGGUGAAAUUCGUAGAUAUUCGGAGGAACACCAGUGGCGAAGGCGGCUCACUGGCUCGAUACUGACGCUGAGGUGCGAAAGUGUGGGGAGCAAACAGGAUUAGAUACCCUGGUAGUCCACACCGUAAACGAUGAAUGCCAGUCGUCGGGUAGCAUGCU